This is a long non-coding RNA of Equus caballus (horse), 2461 nucleotides long. NCBI's taxonomy places the organism in Eukaryota, Metazoa, Chordata, Mammalia, Perissodactyla, Equidae. The record is from Ensembl.
GGACAGCCCCAGGUCCUGCGAAGGCGCGGCCGCCCGUCUGUCCAGCCCGGGAGCCCUGGCUUCUUUCCUGGUCCGAGGAAACGUGAACCAAAGAUGGUUCGGCUAAAUAGACCACCUCCAGUCGGCUUCGAGGCAAAAGACAGCGAGUAUUUUUUGCUCAAGGGAAAGUUAAACCAUGCUUUUUUUCAGUGCAGGGAAAUGGUUGCGCCCCUUCCUCCAAAUCUCGCGGGGGAUAAAUAAGGUGCUCUCGCUAUCCAGACCUCCGCCACUGUCCCCUACCCCACCCCCACUCGGGCGCUGGGUGUGGACAGGGCGGAGGAAGGCUAUAUGGGAGCUUAAGGCAUGAGGUCAUGGGCGGAGGAGGCUGCUGCCAAAGCGGCCGAGGUUUUUGUGUAUUUUGAGGGGUAACGGUUCUCCAUCUUCAGCAGCGGAGUAGAUGCCUCCAGGCAUUUUUAACACAGAGAAAAAUAUUAAUGAUCAAACAUAAAGAAGUGAAGAGAUGCUCCUUCAGGGCAAGUAUGGUUUUGAACAGAGAAACUAGAAGACAGAUAAUCCACAGAGAACUGUCCCAUCUUAAGGACAAAAGUGGAGAACCCACGUGGAGGUGUGUCCAGUCCAGAGGAGUCUUUCUUUGCAAACUCAUAGAUGCACUUUGGGGAUGUGGUCAUCAGUGCAGAAAUCAUGUAGAAGAAGAAACUGACAGACUUUUCUCCCAUACUUGACUUGUCGUAAACCCACAGUGAAAUUAAUUUUGGUUUCUAUUUAUGUGUCUUGUGGCUGCAGCCUGCGACGAUAUGAACCACUCUUAUGCUGAAUGUGUACUUGUGCCUGAGUGAAGUUUCUAUAUGAAUUCAAUAAUUGUUCAGUUCUUCACUUCGCUUCGUCAACAGUGUUCACUGCACACCUGCUGUGCUCUGUAACGGAGGUACUCGGGGGAUGUGCAGAGACACUUGCAUCCUCCCUGGCCCUCUGGCUGAGCUCUGGCAGAUGCCAAGCUGGUUUAUCACCCAAGGCUGGGCCCAUGUGUCCCUUCUAGGGCCACUCAGCCCAGGAAUUUUUUCCUUCCAAAUUUCUUUCCAACUGUACAUUUAGUUCUUUGUAAAUGUUUCCUGAAUACCUGUCUUAUUACUAAAUAUUUUUCCAGUGUAUAUUCUCUCUUACACAUGAAAUCAUAAACCUCUUAAAGGUGAAUACAUAUUCAUAUUACUUCUUAGCAUCUUACUUCUUAGCAUCGCCAUCCCAAUCACAGAGCCUAACACGAUUUGAUAUGUGUUUAUUUUACUUUAAAGCAUAAUUUGUCUUUAUUAUAUAAUUACACUUGUUCAUAAUGAAAAUGUUCAUUAUGUAAAUUUAGAUAAUCUAGACAAGCAAAAAGAAGACUUUUAAGUUGCCCAAAGUUCUACCGUUCAAGAAUAAGUAUUGUUAACAUCGUGCAUGGGGUAUACACCAAACAGGAUAUAUAUUUACCCCAAGGAAGCUAAAAUUUUAAUGGAAUGAAUUGAAAUAUACACAACCACAAACAAGAAGGGGUGAGAUGAUGGAGUUAGGUUUCUUGAGAAGCCAGGAAGAUGAUGUGGUUUCUUGUGGCCCAGGGCAGGCAGCAUAAGUGUGCUUGUAGAGACUUGGCGAAGCGGGCCAUCCAGAAAAUAGUUCUCCCAUCAGCUCUUGGCGUCAUUAUCACAGGAAUAAAGACUGUCCUUCCACAGCAGCAUUGAAUGACAGGCAGAAGUGUGGUUCCCAAACCAGCAACAUCAGUGUCACCUGGGAACUUUUCAGAACUGCAUCUUCUCAGGUCCCAUCCUAGAUCCACUGAAUCAGAAACACUGGGGGUGGCCCAACAGGCUGUUUUAAGAAGCCGUCCAAGCGAUGCUGAUGCACAAUAAAGUCUGAGAAGCACUGUCUAAAAACUGGGAUUGUAUCUUGUUCAUUGUUGAGUUCUCUGUCUCAGCACCUGCUGCCUAGAAGAAUUUGUUAAAUCAAGAAGACAAGCACCAGGGCCAGUCCCAUGGCCUAGUGGUUGAAUUUGGUGCAGUCUGUUUCAGUGGCCUGGGUUCACAUGUUCACAUCCCGGGCAUGGACCUACACCACUCGUCAGCCAUGCUAUGGCGGUGACCCACAUACAAAAUAGAGGAAGACCGGCACAGAUGUUGGCUCAGGGCUAAUCUUCCUCAGGGAAAAAGAGGAAGAUUGGCCACAGAUGUUAGCUCAAGGUGAAUCUUCCUCACACACACACAAAGAAUACAAAUACCCCUGAGAGAUGCAUCGAUUUUUUAAAUUAUUUUUAUUAUGGUAUAUUGCUCAUAGAAAUAUGUAAAAGAUAAAUGAACCCCUAGUAUAUCCAGCCCUCUCUAUAGUUUGCCACGUUUCCUUCAGAUAUUUUUUUAAGAGAACAAAAACAUUGCAGAUACAACUGAGAACUUUCUGUGCAUCCUCUUCCUGAGCUCAUUCUCCUUUCUCCUUU